Long non-coding RNA from Elgaria multicarinata webbii, 173 nucleotides. RefSeq lists it as uncharacterized. The transcript has 3 exons. NCBI's taxonomy places the organism in Eukaryota, Metazoa, Chordata, Lepidosauria, Squamata, Anguidae. The record is from RefSeq and is a predicted model, not a curated record.
UGGCCAAGGACUUCAUCCAGCAGCUCCUGGUGAAGGAUCCUGGGAGCCGAAUGACUGCAGCAGAGUGCCUCAUCCACCCAUGGAUCAAGCCCCUGAACCGGAAGCAAGCCGUGAACCGGAGCCGUUCCUCCAUCAACAUGAAGAACUUCCGCAAGUUCAACGCCCGCCAGAAG